CUUACAUUGAAUUGUGGGUGAACAUUAGGACAAUGUUAUUUUUAUAUGUUGGGAGAUAUAGUGAAGGGAGGAACAGUGAUAAAACCGUACCCAGUAUAUUAAGAGUGAACAUCUGGGCACAUUUUGAGUUUUAAAAUCUUCCUCACAAAAAAAAAUAUAAUACAAUGAAUUUUAAGAACCAAGUUAGCUUGUUUCAGCCUGCGCUAACGUCUGCAACCAUAGAGAAUACAACAAGCCCAGCUAAUCAGCCAAGAAUUGAGGAGGCCCUGUCCAACUGUGAGCCCAAAGAGAAUCAGCCAAUCUGUUUCAGACAAAGUCAAUUUACAGCGAUACCUCCACUCCACAGGGAACCCAAAGCCCAGAUGAUGGUUGUGGAUUUACUUCCUCACUAAAAAGACAACAGGAUAUGUAAUCCAGGCCCAGGAUUCCUCCAGAUGAUUGAUUGCAGGUUGGCAGGAGAUGUAAAAAGAGGUGUGUCUUCAAUUGAUGAAGGGAGAGCUGACUAAGCAGGGAUUCAGAAGGGUAAGGUGACUCAUUUCUAAUACUCCUAAUGAGUGUUUUAUUAGUUUAGUUUCAUAGACCAUAAAAUUAAUGCACACAGUAAAUUGCACUACAGUAUAUGGAUUCUGGAAGGUUUUGCGCAGUAGCAAAGCAGGCCAAAAUAAGUAAACAUAAUAUAUGUAGCCACAGCAAAUAUUUCCAAACUAUGUAACUUCUAAAACUGUCUGUGUUUUCUUCUAGAAUAUAUUGUACAACUAAUUGAAUUUCUAAUCAUUGGCCUGCCUAUGGAGUAUACAUAUAAGCCAUAGUACUACAUUUGCAACCUCACCCACUUGAUGUAAUAAAACUCUUGCCAGAAUGACUUUUACCAUGUCAGCCCCUUUAAAUGGCCAGGGCACAAGAAACCCUCAAAUUUUGCUAUAAGGUUUAAAUUGGUUGGAUGAUGCUGUUUGGUACUGGGGUUAACACCAACUAUUGCAGCUUUCAUCAACAAAAGAAAAGCCAUGUGUGUGUUGUCAAAAUCACAAAGUAAAACUGUUGACAUCCCUCAGCCUUCUUGAAUUGUGUCUCUUGCUUGGCUGGGUCAACUUAGUCCUGGGUGUGAAGUUUAUUGAUCCAUCCUGAGAAAGAGAUUGAAAGCUGCCAGUGACAGCUUAAGUCUUUCUGUCUGCCCAUUCCUUCUUUGACAAUCCAUGUGAUGAUUGUACAGUUAAAGAGUCUGACACACUGAGGAGCCAGCAGGGCACAAAAUUAGCACAAGCCACCAGCCAAAUGCUGGUAAAAUAUGCAAGUGGGUCGUAGAUUUACUUCACUCUCGAGCCACAAGAAUAAUGGUACUUUAUUGAGUGGCUGGUAAAACUUUAGCAUCCACUAGCCAUUUGGCCGAUGGACAAAAAAGUUGAUAUCCCACCCUGGGAGCCAGAGUGUAAAGGCAAGUUGAGGCAGUUAGAAAAGAGAAAAAGGCCCUUUGUGAAGUUGAUAAAGAGAAGGGGUGUUAGGAAGAGAGCGAAGAGACAAAAUUAAGCUUUAAGCAGGAGGGAGAAUUGGCAGCAAUACAAUACAGAAUGGAAUAUAGACAUAUCUUUCUGGAUCAUUCCUUUAAUUUGAAUGCAUCAUUCUUCACUUACUCACAAGUCUCCCCCAUAGCACCACUGCAAUGCUUAAUUUAAUGCGAACAACUUUAUAGAGAAUGCAUCUGCCACUUCAAAAUGAGUCUGUGAGUAAGUCGUUCUGUUUAUUUCAAUUUGUCAGUCGAAUGCAUGUCAUUUUUUAAGGGGUGAUCUGCUUUGUGCUAUUUUCUCACCCAACUUUAUUCUCUGCAUUGUGUUAUCCUCAGUCUCAGCCCCUCAGUAAAUUUUCCCACUCUUCAUCUUACUCUGGUACUCUUUUAGCUACAUUUGCCCUCCCACUGCUCUUCUUCCAACAUGACUUAAUGACAAUUCAAACAUCAUUCUGCAGAUUUUUCCACAAACACUGUAGGAUUUUAUUUUCCAUUUUAAGGUAAUUUCUUUUAGGAGCUGAUCAAUUGUAAUAUCUCCAUUGUUGAUUGUUCCGUUCAAAUUUGGCAGCUGUAUUUAUUUUAUUUAAAUAUAUAUAUAUUUAUUUAUAUAUAUAUAUAUAUUGCUCCUUUUCCCAACUAUCCUAAUGUGCUUCUAUCUUUGACUCAGUUAUGUCCAUCAUCUGUUAACACUAGUUCCUGUCCGGUGCUGCUUGUUUAGGAAUUCAUGUAUGAGACAACAUCCUACAACGUUGCAAUGCCUAAUAGUCCUCUAGAGAAGACAAAUUACUUUUGAACUGACAUUUGUUAAAAUUGACAUACCAAUAUAAUUAAAGGUUGUGUAUGCUGCUAGGACGUUUAUUGCUGCUUUAAUUUUGCUUUACUCUACCUCUCUGUGAUCAUCUACAGCAAUGAGUGAAAUCUGUUUUGUGUGCAGAUAUACAUGUUAAUCAGUCCAGCCUUGAUCUCAACACCAAUAUUUGCAGUAUAACAGUAUAACAAGAGUAUUGCAUUCCAUUUCAUCUUUAAUCUUCAGCUCCCAAUUUAAAUUUUAUGUGGAAACCUCUAUUCCCAUACUCUAUCUCCAUCCCUGUUACCUCCCUCUGUACCUUUCAAUCCCAUUCAUCAUCAGUCUUGCACAUCUGUCUAGUCUAGUGACAGUAGUGCUGGGCAGUGUGACCAAAAAAACUGUGAAUCACUGUAUUUUGUUAUGAUUCUGCACGGUAUUUAUUUUAUUUUUAUUUUUUGCAUGACUGGGCCUUUAUAUAAGUUUUAAGUGGCUUAUAACUGUCAGGAGUACAAAG
Long non-coding RNA from Dicentrarchus labrax (European seabass), 2802 nucleotides. Lineage: Eukaryota; Metazoa; Chordata; Actinopteri; Moronidae. The record is from Ensembl.